RNAcentral lists this ribosomal RNA (546 nucleotides) under Papiliotrema flavescens. RNAcentral's name for it is "eukaryotic LSU rRNA". It matches the Rfam family "Eukaryotic large subunit ribosomal RNA", at positions 129 to 666 of the family's 3401-position model. Lineage: Eukaryota; Fungi; Basidiomycota; Tremellomycetes; Tremellales; Rhynchogastremaceae. The record is from RNAcentral.
UCAGUGCGUCCGAGUUGUAAUCUAUAGAGGCGUUUUCCGUGCCGGACUGUGUCUAAGUCCCUUGGAACAGGGUAUCAAAGAGGGUGAUAAUCCCGUACUUGACACAAUGACCGGUGCUCUGUGAUACGUCUUCUACGAGUCGAGUUGUUUGGGAAUGCAGCUCAAAAUGGGUGGUGAGUUCCAUCUAAAGCUAAAUAUUGGCGAGAGACCGAUAGCGAACAAGUACCGUGAGGGAAAGAUGAAAAGCACUUUGGAAAGAGAGUUAAACAGUACGUGAAAUUGUUGAAAGGGAAACGAUUGAAGUCAGUCGUGACUGAGAGGCUCAGCCGGUUCUGCCGGUGUAUUCCCCUCAGUCGGGUCAACAUCAGUUUUGUUCGGUGGAUAAGGGCAGCUGGAAGGUGGCACCUCCGGGUGUGUUAUAGCCAGCUGUCGCAUACAUCGAAUGAGACUGAGGAAUGCAGCUCGCCUUUAUGGCCGGGGUUCGCCCACGUCCGAGCUUAGGAUGUUGACAUAAUGGCUUUAAACGACCCGUCUUGAAACACGGAC